GACGAACGCUGGCGGCGUGCCUAAUACAUGCAAGUCGAACGCUUCUUUCCUCCCGAGUGCUUGCACUCAAUUGGAAAGAGGAGUGGCGGACGGGUGAGUAACACGUGGGUAACCUACCCAUCAGAGGGGGAUAACACUUGGAAACAGGUGCUAAUACCGCAUAACAGUUUAUGCCGCAUGGCAUAAGAGUGAAAGGCGAUUUCGGGUGUCGCUGAUGGCUGGACCCGCGGUGCAUUAGCUAGUUGGUGAGGUAACGGCUCACCAAGGCCACGAUGCAUAGCCGACCGGAGAGGGGGAUCGGCCACACUGGGACUGAGACACGGCCCAGACUCCUACGGGAGGCAGCAGUAGGGAAUGGUCGGCAAUGGACGAAAGUCUGACCGAGCAACGCCGCGUGAGUGAAGAAGGUGUUCGGAUCGUAAAACUCUGUUGUUAGAGAAGAACAAGGACGUUAGUAACUGAACGUCCCCUGACGGUAUCUAACCAGAAAGACACGGCUAACUACGUG
Molecule: ribosomal RNA, 508 nt
Filed under: uncultured bacterium
Lineage: Bacteria
Description: partial 16S ribosomal RNA
Rfam family: Bacterial small subunit ribosomal RNA
Source: RNAcentral